Molecule: ribosomal RNA, 450 nt
Filed under: uncultured bacterium
Lineage: Bacteria
Description: partial 16S ribosomal RNA
Rfam family: Bacterial small subunit ribosomal RNA
Source: RNAcentral
GUGGGGAAUUUUGGACAAUGGGCGCAAGCCUGAUCCAGCAAUGCCGCGUGCAGGAAGAAGGCCUUCGGGUUGUAAACUGCUUUUGUACGGAACGAAACGGUCCGGGUUAAUACCCUGGGCUAAUGACGGUACCGUAAGAAUAAGCACCGGCUAACUACGUGCCAGCAGCCGCGGUAAUACGUAGGGUGCAAGCGUUAAUCGGAAUUACUGGGCGUAAAGCGUGCGCAGGCGGUUUUGUAAGACAGGCGUGAAAUCCCCGGGCUCAACCUGGGAAUUGCGCUUGUGACUGCAAGGCUGUAGUGCGGCAGAGGGGGAUGGAAUUCCGCGUGUAGCAGUGAAAUGCGUAGAUAUGCGGAGGAACACCGCUGGCGAAGGCAAUCCCCUGGUCCUGCACUGACGCUCAUGCACGAAAGCGUGCGGAGCAAACAGGAUUAGAAACCCUGGUAGUCC